AUACGGAGGGUGCAAGCGUUGUUCGGAAUCACUGGGCGUAAAGGGCGCGCAGGCGGUUUGGUAAGUCAGAUGUGAAAGCCCACGGCUCAACCGUGGAAGUGCAUUUGAAACUGCCAGACUUGAGUACCAGAGGGGAGAGUGGAAUUCCCGGUGUAGAGGUGAAAUUCGUAGAUAUCAGGAGGAAUACCGGUGGCGAAGGCGACUUUCUGGCUGGAUACUGACGCUGAGGCGCGAAAGCGUGGGGAGCAAACAGGAUUAGAAACCCUAGUAGUCC
RNAcentral lists this ribosomal RNA (274 nucleotides) under uncultured bacterium. RNAcentral's name for it is "partial 16S ribosomal RNA". It matches the Rfam family "Bacterial small subunit ribosomal RNA", at positions 523 to 796 of the family's 1533-position model. The record is from RNAcentral.